CCUACGGGAGGCAGCAGUGGGGAAUAUUGGGCAAUGGGCGCAAGCCUGACCCAGCAACGCCGCGUGAAGGAAGAAGGCUUUCGGGUUGUAAAAUUCUUUUCACAGGGACGAAGAAAAUGACGGUACCUGAGGAAUAAGCCACGGCUAACUACGUGCCAUCAGCCGCGGUAAUACGUAGGUGGCAAGCGUUAUCCGGAUUUACUGGGUGUAAAGGGGGUGUAGGCGGGGAAGAAAGUCAGGUGGGAAAACCACGGGCUCAACCUGGGGCCUGCAGUUGAAACUGUUUGUCUUGAGUACUGGAGAGGCAGACGGAAUUCCUAGUGUAGCGGUGAAAUGCGUAGAUAUUAGGAGGAACACCAGUGGCGAAGGCGGUCUGCUGGACAGCAACUGACGCUGAGGCGCGAAAGCGUGGGGAGCAAACAGGAUUAGAUACCCGUGUAGUC
This 443-nucleotide ribosomal RNA is filed under the name uncultured bacterium. RNAcentral describes it as "partial 16S ribosomal RNA". It matches the Rfam family "Bacterial small subunit ribosomal RNA", at positions 338 to 795 of the family's 1533-position model. The record is from RNAcentral.